RNAcentral lists this ribosomal RNA (346 nucleotides) under uncultured bacterium. RNAcentral's name for it is "bacterial SSU rRNA". It matches the Rfam family "Bacterial small subunit ribosomal RNA", at positions 29 to 363 of the family's 1533-position model. The record is from RNAcentral.
AACGAACGUUAGCGGCGCGCCUAACACAUGCAAGUCGCACGAGAAAGGGCUUCGGCCCCGGUAAAGUGGCGCACGGGUGAGUAACACGUGGGUAACCUGCCCUCGAGCGGGGGAUAACAUUCCGAAAGGAGUGCUAAUACCGCAUAAGACCACGACCUCGAAAGAGGAUGGGGUCAAAGCUGGCCUCUAUACAUAAGCUAGCACUUGAGGAUGGGCCCGCGGCGCAUCAGGUAGUGGUGAGGUAACGGCUCACCAAGCCUAAGACGCGUAGCUGGUCUGAGAGGAUGACCAGCCACACUGGAACUGAGACACGGUCCAGACUCUACGGAGGCAGCAGUGGGGAAUC